Otolemur garnettii (small-eared galago) is the source of this 828-nucleotide long non-coding RNA. RefSeq lists it as uncharacterized. The transcript is spliced from 3 exons. The record is from RefSeq and is a predicted model, not a curated record. NCBI's taxonomy places the organism in Eukaryota, Metazoa, Chordata, Mammalia, Primates, Galagidae.
AGGUCCCCAACCACUGACCAAACUCCAGUCCAGACAGCCACCUGGCUCGAGGCUGGCCCAGCUUUGCCUCUUCCUUUGGCGGCUCUCAAGGUCUGGGAGUAGGGGGACACCCUUGAAGCCCCAUCCACCCACCGGGACCCCUGCCUUCCAUUUCAGAGGGCUGGCUUCUCCCUGGAGCUGGGAUCUGACGCUGGCCGGUACCGACAGCAGAUACCAGGCCCAUGGGAGGACUACACUUUGAUGCUUCCUUUGAAGCUACGUGUGACUUGUUUUGGCCAAUGAGAUGUAAGCAGAAAACAACUUGUGUCACUCCGGGCAGAAGCUUUAAGAGCCAGUGUUGUCGUUGUGUAAGCAAGAGUAGGUACGGAGUCACCACAGAGAGGAGAACCACUGAUGACCUACAAUGGACAUGUUGGGACAAGAUGUGAAAGCUAUGCCCCUUGAGCAAUACGUAUUGAGGAAGAGGAGAGAAGUGAGAUGGUACAGUGGUCAAGGCCAUUGCUGUUGAGAGAUCAAUGGCACAGCCAUCUACACAGCUGUUUGAACUUUCAAAAACCAUAGGCUCUUUAAGCAUGAUUUUCUUCAUCUACAAAACAGGAAUCAAUAAGCCCUCUUUAUAGACUUCUUUGCAGAAUAAAUGUGAUAAGUCUUAUAAACCUGACAUGUAGUCACCCAGCUUCUAAUUGUGUUACUUACGAAUUCAAAGUAGUUCCCUUUGGAAAACAGUGCUUGCUGAUUCUUAAAACUCCAGAGGACAAACCAGGACCAAUAGAUAGAUGCUACUGGGAGCAAAGCUUAGGCUCAAAAUGACUUUUUUUUUUUUUCAGU